This 375-nucleotide ribosomal RNA is filed under the name uncultured bacterium. RNAcentral describes it as "bacterial SSU rRNA". It matches the Rfam family "Bacterial small subunit ribosomal RNA", at positions 524 to 898 of the family's 1533-position model. The record is from RNAcentral.
UACGGAGGGUGCAAGCGUUAAUCGGAAUUACUGGGCGUAAAGCGCACGCAGGCGGUCUGUCAAGUCGGAUGUGAAAUCCCCGGGCUCAACCUGGGAACUGCAUCCGAAACUGGCAGGCUAGAGUCUUGUAGAGGGGGGUAGAAUUCCAGGUGUAGCGGUGAAAUGCGUAGAGAUCUGGAGGAAUACCGGUUGCGAAGGCGGCCCCCUGGACAAAGACUGACGCUCAGGUACGAAAGCGUGGGGAGCAAACAGGAUUAGAUACCCUGGUAGUCCACGCCGUAAACGAUGUCGACUUGGAGGUGGUGCCCUUGAGGCGUGGGUGCCGGAGCUAACGCGUUAAGUCGACCGCCUGGGGAGUACGGCCGCAAGGUUAAA